This 517-nucleotide ribosomal RNA is filed under the name uncultured bacterium. RNAcentral describes it as "bacterial LSU rRNA". It matches the Rfam family "Bacterial large subunit ribosomal RNA", at positions 1952 to 2473 of the family's 2925-position model. The record is from RNAcentral.
UAAGGUAGCGAAAUUCCUGUACGGGUAAGUUCCGACCUGCACGAAUGGUGUAACGAUCGUGGCACUGUCUCAGCCACGAGCUCGGUGAAAUUGUAGUAGCGGUGAAGAUGCCGCUUACCCGCAACGGGACGGAAAGACCCCGUGAACCUUUACUGCAGCUUCGCAUUGACUCUGGGUAAGUGAUGUGUAGGAUAGGACGGAGGCUUUGAAGCGGUUUUCGCCAGGAAUCGUGGAGCCAUCCUUGAAAUACGUCCCUUUUGCUUACUUGGAGCCUAACCCCGAGUUCUCGGGGGACAUUGCGUGGUGGGUAGUUUGACUGGGGUGGUCGCCUCCAAAAGAGUAACGGAGGCUUCUAAAGGUACCCUCAUGGCGAUUGGUAACCGCCAGCAGAGUGUAAUGGUAUAAGGGUGCUUGACUGUGAGACCGACGGGUCGAUCAGGUAGGAAACUAGAGCAUAGUGAUCCGGUGGUUCCGCAUGGUAAGGGCCAUCGCUCAAAGGAUAAAAGGUACUCCGGGG